RNAcentral lists this ribosomal RNA (425 nucleotides) under uncultured bacterium. RNAcentral's name for it is "partial 16S ribosomal RNA". It matches the Rfam family "Bacterial small subunit ribosomal RNA", at positions 354 to 796 of the family's 1533-position model. The record is from RNAcentral.
GUGGGGAAUCUUAGACAAUGGGGGAAACCCUGAUCUAGCCAUGCCGCGUGAGCGAUGAAGGCCUUAGGGUUGUAAAGCUCUUUCAGAUGGGAAGAUAAUGACGGUACCAUCAGAAGAAGCCCCGGCUAACUCCGUGCCAGCAGCCGCGGUAAUACGGAGGGGGCUAGCGUUGUUCGGAAUUACUGGGCGUAAAGCGCACGUAGGCGGACCAGAAAGUCAGAGGUGAAAUCCCAGGGCUCAACCUUGGAACUGCCUUUGAAACUCCUGGUCUUGAGGUCGAGAGAGGUGAGUGGAAUUCCGAGUGUAGAGGUGAAAUUCGUAGAUAUUCGGAGGAACACCAGUGGCGAAGGCGGCUCACUGGCUCGAUACUGACGCUGAGGUGCGAAAGCGUGGGGAGCAAACAGGAUUAGAAACCCGAGUAGUCC